Long non-coding RNA from Oncorhynchus keta (chum salmon), 615 nucleotides. RefSeq lists it as uncharacterized. The transcript has 3 exons. The record is from RefSeq and is a predicted model, not a curated record. NCBI's taxonomy places the organism in Eukaryota, Metazoa, Chordata, Actinopteri, Salmoniformes, Salmonidae.
ACUUACAGGAUGUAUAGUCCUAGUCCUGUGUUGUUGUAUAGGUGAAGUAAUGGGAUACUUACAGGAUGUAUAGUCCUAGUCCUGUGUUGUUGUAUAGGUGGAGUAAUGGGAUACUUACAGGAUGUAUAGUCCUAGUCCUGUGUUGUUGUAUAGGUGGAGUAAUGGGCUACUUACAGGAUGUAUAGUCCUAGUCCUGUGUUGUUGUAUAGGUGGAGUAAUGGGCUACUUACAGGAUGUAUAGUCCUAGUCCUGUGUUGUUGUAUAGGUGGAGUAAUGGGAUACUUACAGGAUGUAUAGUCCUAGUCCUGUGUUGUUGUAUAGGUGGAGUAAUGGGAUACUUACAGGAUGUAUAGUCCUAGUCCUGUGUUGUUGUAUAGGUGGAGUAAUGGGCUACUUACAGGAUGUAUAGUCCUAGUCCUGUGUUGUUGUAUAGGUGGAGUAAUGGGCUACUUACAGGAUGUAUAGUCCUAGUCCUGUGUUGUUGUAUAGGUGGAGUAAUGGGAUACUUACAGGAUGUAUAGUCCUAGUCCUGUGUUGUUGUAUAGGUGGAGUAAUGGGAUACUUACAGGAUGUAUAGUCCUAGUCCUGUGUUGUUGUAUAGGUGGAGUAAUGGGC